This is an RNA transcript of Ictalurus punctatus (channel catfish), 5153 nucleotides long. It is a transcript of the gene named probable E3 ubiquitin-protein ligase HERC3, with no coding region annotated. NCBI's taxonomy places the organism in Eukaryota, Metazoa, Chordata, Actinopteri, Siluriformes, Ictaluridae. The record is from RefSeq and is a predicted model, not a curated record. The transcript has 26 exons.
GCGUCAUCCCGCUUCAUAUACAGUAUAGUCAACCUACGUAGGGUGUAUAGCUGUAUUUGGGAUGAGACCUUCGCUGUAACUUCCUUGUUAUUAUCAUAACAUACGGAGAAGCAGAAAAUAACCAGCCAUAAGUGAAACGGGUAUGUGCCUUUCAAGGCUCGUCAUCCACUCGAAGGGGAGAAGGCAGGGCCACAUAGCCUAAGGCUGCACUGCCCUGUGUCUGUCCUCGUUCUCCUUUAUACCCAUCUCUCGGUGCGUGAGUGGCGAUGCUGUGCUGGGGCAGUUCCAAUUGGGGUCAGCUCGGCCUCGCUGUAUCCGAGGCCGCUGUGUUUGAGCCGCGGAGCUGCUGCGUGUUCGACGGCAGAGGGCUGAAAGAAGCGGCAUGCGGCGGGCAACACUCGCUGUUCCUGAUGCACGAUGGGAGCGUCUACACGUGCGGGUCCAACAGUCGCGGACAGCUGGGCCACGAGAAGCCUGGAGUCAAGCCUGAGCUGGUCGGGGCGCUGGAUGCCCAGAAGAUUGCAGGCGUGGCAUGUGGGCAGGCCCACUCUUUGGCACUGAGUGAGCAAGGGCAGGUGUUCGCGUGGGGCUCGGGCGAGUCGGGGCAGCUCGGUCUCGGCACUGCAGAGGAAGCCGUCCGAGUUCCCCGAUUGAUCAAGAAGUUGUGUGAACAUCGGAUCUCACAAGUCAUGUGUGGCAACCAGCACUGUAUCGCACUUUCUAAAGAUGGUCAGUUGUUCACGUGGGGUCAGAACUCGAGCGGUCAGCUGGGAUUGGGGAAAGGUGAGCCGAGCUCUCUGUCUCCUCAACCCCUCAAGUCUCUGUGUGGGAUCCCACUGAGUCAGAUCAGCGCCGGAGGAGACCACAGCUUCGCCCUGUCUCUCUCCGGAGCCGUGUUCGGCUGGGGCAGGAACAGCGCCGGGCAGCUGGGCCUCAACGAUGAGCAAGAUCGGGCUGUUCCCUGCCACAUUAAAUUCUUGCGCUCACAGAAAGUGGUCUACAUCUGCUGUGGGGAGGAACACACAGCCGCUCUGACCAAGGAUGGAGGUCUGUUUACGUUUGGAAACGGGUCGAGAGGACAGCUGGGACACGACUCUACCAACAAUGAGCCUCUGCCACGCAGGGUUUUGGAGCUCAUGGGCACCGAGGUGUCUCAAAUCGCCUGUGGCAGACACCACACGCUGGCGUUCGUGUCCUCCACCGGCUUGGUGUACGCCUUCGGCUGUAACGCUCAGGGCCAGCUCGGCUUAGGGACCAGAGGAAACGCCAUGAUCCCCCUUCCAGUCCGAAACAUCCAGCCUCCUUUUCUCACCAACACACAAACAGAUCAGUACAGCAUCAGCAGGAUCCACUGCGGCGGCGAUCACAGCUUUCUGGUGCUGUCACGUGGCAAGAGUUGCCCGGAGGACUUCCGCGUUAUCAACGCGUCGAAAAGCAUUUCCCUGAUUAAUAAGGAGAGUCUAAACAGUUGGAGGCUGAAGCUCCUGGACAGCACCGACUCCAGCAUCACAAAUGACAUCAUUCUGCUGCUGUCCUCGACCGCAUGUUGGAACGCCAGCUUCCUGGACCAGAGUGAUGAUGGUCAUUUUAAAACCAACCCCAAAGUCCCCGGAAUCGACCUCAACUCGGUCAGGCUGCUGUUCGAGAUGCUGAUGAAGCCAGCCUACUCACGGCUGCUGGAGCAGACCACGAAGAGCUUCGAGAGUUUGCUGAUCCCUCAGCUCCCCUGCUCUCCUCCUGAUGUAGAGGCCAUGCGCAUUUACCUGAUCCUCUCCGAGUGUCCGGCUCUGCACGACUCCAAAAACUACAUCUCCCUGACCAUCCCGCUCGCCAUGGCCAUCCUCCGGCUGGACGCCAACCCCAGCAAAGUUCUCGAUAACUGGUGGUCACUGCUGGAUGGUGAGGUCUUCUGCAGGUUGGUUGAGAUGUAUAAGAGCAUUGUGGUGUUCCUGCUCACCGGUGGCAAGGCCCUCCUCAUUCCUGUGUUUCUGGAGAGCUACUUUAACGCUACGCUGAAACUGCUAGAGAAACUACACAAGGUGAACCAGAAAGCCCACCAUGUGGAGUACAACCGCUUCUACAUCCCCGACAUCACCAGCCUGGUGGACAUCCAGGAAGACUACCUCAAAUGGUUCCUAAGCAAAGCCGAGAUUAAAAUGCGAUCUCCUCCAGUACAGAAUUCAGUUACGUUAUGUGCCUAUCCGUUCAUAUUGAACGCUCAAGCUAAGACAACCAUGUUGCAGACAGACGCUGAGCUGCAGAUGCAGAUGGCAGUGAGCGGUGCCAACCUGCACAACGUGUUCAUGCUGUUAACCCUGGAACCCUUGCUGGCACAAAACCCGUUUCUCGUCCUGCACGUGCGGAGGGAUCACCUGGUCAGCGACGCGCUGCGUGAGCUCACCAUCUAUAACGAUGUGGACUUGAAGAAGCCCCUAAAGGUGAUUUUUGACGGAGAGGAGGCAGUGGAUGCAGGUGGAGUCACUAAAGAGUUCUUCUUGCUGCUGCUGAAAGAGUUGAUGGAUCCAGUCUAUGGCAUGUUCACCCAUUACCCAGAAUCCAACUUGCUCUGGUUUUCCGAUAAAUGUUUUGUUGAACACAACUGGUUCCACUUGAUCGGGAUCGUCUGUGGCCUGGCUAUCUACAACUCCACCGUUGUUGACCUGCACUUCCCUCUCGUGCUCUACAAGAAGCUCCUAGAUGUUCCUCCUGUGCUGGAUGAUCUGAAGGAGCUCUCCCCUACUGAGGGCAGGAGUCUCCAGCAGCUGUUGGACUAUGACGAGGAAGACCUAGAGGAUGCCUUCUGUCUCAACUUUGCUAUUAGCCGAGAGUAUUACGGGGUAACGGAGGUGAAGGAGCUCGUCCCUGGAGGAGAGAACAAAACAGUAGACAAGUCGAACAGAGAGGAGUUUGUGCAGGCCUAUCUGCACUACAUGUUCACUGAGUCGGUGCGAGAGCUGUACUCUGCGUUUGCCAGCGGUUUCCUGAAGGUGUGUGGUGGCCGGAUUCUCUCUCUGUUCCAGCCCUCUGAGCUCAUGGCCAUGGUGGUGGGCAACAGCAGCUACAACUGGGAGGAGCUGGAGAAGAAUGCGAGCUACAAAGGCGAGUUCUCGGCCUCCCAUCCUACGGUGCGGAUGUUUUGGGACGUGUUCCACGAGUUUCCCUUGGAGAAUAAGAAACAGUUUUUAUUGUUCCUUACAGGCAGUGACCGGAUCCCCAUCCACGGCAUGUCCAGCCUGCGCAUCAUCAUCCAGUCCACGUCGGCGGACGAGCACUUCCUGCCCGUCGCCCACACCUGCUACAACCUGCUGGACCUGCCGUGCUACAGGAGCAGAGAGACGCUGCGCUUGAGGCUCACGUGCGCCAUCGAGCAGUACGAAGGCUUCAGCCUGGUGUGAGAACUCGGCUGCUCUUUCACACACACUCGCACUUUCACCGAGGACGGAACGACGUCUGAUCCCCCACGCAGAGCGGCUCUGACAGUGUGAGUAGGAACGUAUACAGACCCUGAACUCUGAACUCCGCUGAACUCUGAGUGGAAGAAAUCUUUUAUUCAAUUUUAUUUUUGGGGUGUUAGUGCGAGGAUUCCUGUCGUGCACGUUGUUAUCCGGAGCGCUUUUUUUUGCUUUCCUGCUCCUUUCCGAGUUCUGGGAUCAGCGUCAAGAUCGUGUACGUUUAGACGGGCGCUCUACGCUGAGACAGGAAAUAUUUUCGCUCGGUGGUUUGGAGUCACAUUCGGACGCUUGGGUUUUUUUUUUUUUUUGCUUCUGUGCUUGGUGGGAAUGAAAGAACUUGGGAUAAAUCCAGAAACAAGUCCUCUGAGCUUUUGACUGGAGAUGUCCAGACCUGCUGCUGAAGUGACGGAGGACGAAACAAGCCAUUAUCCGGACGCGAGAACCUAUUAAUCCUCUCUGCUUAUGCGUAACUCGACCAGUGAAUUCAUUUACAACUUUGCCUUUAAUACGAGCCACUAGCGAGGAACGCCUACAGCUUUCGUUUAUUCUCCUUUUCCUCACUUUCCCAGCGUGCAUGCAAGUGUGACGUUCCAGAGUGAAAGCUGAGCCUGCUAAUGACUGUUUAUCGCCACAAUAAAUAUGUAUACGGUAAACCCAAAAAUGUUCUUUAUGGUUGGGGGAAGAAGGAAAAAAAAAACAAGCUAAGGAUUUGAAAGCCACAAAUGACCGCAGUAACUGACGGAUGAUUUUUUUUUUUUUCCCCUGUUCGAGGGAGGAGAUAACUGGAGCAAUAACUGGUUUGUGUGUGUGUGUGUGUGUGUGUGUGUGUGUGUGUGUGUGUGUGUGUGUGUGUGUGUGUGUGUGUGUGGUUUCGAUUUGAACGCCGGCCUAUGCACAACCACGGAUCUGUGGAAUAAGCGGAGCAGAACGCUGGUCCUGUGCGUGUAACGAGUCCCGGACGGAGAUUCCUGCUAUAACGCUCCUGAUUUAAACCCGACAGUUAAAGGUCAGUGGCCACCGACCCUGUUCCUGGAGGUGUACCUUCCAAACGUAAUUUGUGCCCAGCUGACCAUCUUAUCAUUGCCUCAGGACGUUGUCGGUUUUCGGUGUUGGAGCAGGAAGUCGCUGGACUGGAGGCGUACAGCACCACUGUGGUGCUCUCUUGUGUAUAUAAAUCUAUUAGUUUGGGUUUAAAAAAAAAAAGCAACACAUCAUUCUGCCGCUAUUGCAUCGAAAUCAGUUUCUUACCGUUCCGAAGAACGUGCAGGGACGGAGAAUGGGACGUUUAAAAGGGAUUUCCAUUCCACAGCCACGACGCUCUGAUGCUCUCAGUACUGGAUCAGAAUGAUUUGGUGUGUAAAGUGACACACGAUGAAGCCAUGUGAUGAUGGUGAUGAUGAUGAGGAAGAAGCCGCAGGAGAGGAACACUGCACACCACGCUCUGGAGACUCGGGCUGCGUUCAGCGUUUCCUCUCGUCACGCUGUGUUCAUUCAUCCACACUGGAACAGCACCAAGCCUUUCUGUCCAGUACCUCACUGUCAACUUCAGCAAACAAGGGCUUCUCAGUGGCUGCUGCUGCAUUAUUUUAGUAAAGUAUAUUUACUUUUUUACCUCUCUCAAAUGGAAUAUAUUGUUUUAUCUAUUUUUUUUUUCCUCCUUCCAGAGCAUUUAAAUUAAAAUGAAAAUUCCACCUCCCCAAA